AGAGUUUGAUCCUGGCUCAGAUUGAACGCUGGCGGCAUGCUUUACACAUGCAAGUCGAACGGCAGCGCGGGGCAACCUGGCGGCGAGUGGCGAACGGGUGAGUAAUAUAUCGGAACGUACCCAAGAGUGGGGGAUAACGUAGCGAAAGUUACGCUAAUACCGCAUACGAUCCAAGGAUGAAAGUGGGGGAUUCGCAAGAACCUCAUGCUCCUGGAGCGGCCGAUAUCUGAUUAGCUAGUUGGUAGGGUAAAGGCCUACCAAGGCUACGAUCAGUAGCUGGUCUGAGAGGACGACCAGCCACACUGGAACUGAGACACGGUCCAGACUCCUACGGGAGGCAGCAGUGGGGAAUUUUGGACAAUGGGCGCAAGCCUGAUCCAGCAGUGCCGCGUGAGUGAAGAAGGCCUUCGGGUUGUAAAGCUCUUUUGUCAGGGAAGAAACGGUGGGGGCUAAUAUCCUUCACUAAUGACGGUACCUGAAGAAUAAGCACCGGCUAACUACGUGCCAGCAGCCGCGGUAAUACGUAGGGUGCAAGCGUUAAUCGGAAUUACUGGGCGUAAAGCGUGCGCAGGCGGUUUUGUAAGUCUGUCGUGAAAGCCCCGGGCUCAACCUGGGAAUUGCGAUGGAGACUGCAAGGCUUGAAUCUGGCAGAGGGGGGUAGAAUUCCACGUGUAGCAGUGAAAUGCGUAGAGAUGUGGAGGAACACCGAUGGCGAAGGCAGCCCCCUGGGUCAAGAUUGACGCUCAUGCACGAAAGCGUGGGGAGCAAACAGGAUUAGAUACCCUGGUAGUCCACGCCCUAAACGAUGUCUACUAGUUGUCGGGUUUUAAUUAACUUGGUAACGCAGCUACGCGUGAAGUAGACCGGCUGGGGGAGUACGGUCGCAGAUUAAAACUCAAUGAAUUGACGG
Molecule: ribosomal RNA, 910 nt
Filed under: uncultured bacterium
Lineage: Bacteria
Description: bacterial SSU rRNA
Rfam family: Bacterial small subunit ribosomal RNA
Source: RNAcentral